CACGUAGUUAGCCGGCGCUUCUUAUCCAGCUACCGUCAACCCACCCACAGGGGACAGGCCUGCUUCACUGGCGAAAGAGGUUUACAGCCCGAAGGCCUCCAUCCCUCACGCGGCGUCGCUGCAUCAGGCUUGCGCCCAUUGUGCAAUAUUCCCCACUGCUGCCUCCCGUAGGAGUCUGGGCCGUGUCUCAGUCCCAGUGUGACCGUCCACCCUCUCAGGCCGGCUACCCGUCACCGCCUUGGUAGGCCAUCACCCCACCAACAAGCUGAUAGGCCGCGAGCCCAUCCCCCACCGAAACAAUAUCUUUCCCACACCCACCAUGCAGCAGGCGCAGAAUAUCCCGUAUUAGCCACACUUUCAUGCGGUUAUCCAGAAGAAGGGGCAGGUUACUCACGUGUUACUCACCGUUCGCCACUCAUCCACACCACCAAAAGGAAGGCGCUCACCGUUCGACUUGCAUGUGUUAAGCACGCCGCCAGCGUCUCUCUAGCACG
Molecule: ribosomal RNA, 494 nt
Filed under: uncultured Actinomyces sp.
Lineage: Bacteria; Bacillati; Actinomycetota; Actinomycetes; Actinomycetales; Actinomycetaceae
Description: partial 16S ribosomal RNA
Source: RNAcentral